CUGUCAUGUAGCAACAGUUAACUGUCGUGGCCUACACUCUGUAUGAGGCAUGAAGAGAAGGUCCUUUCGUCAAGAAUGAAGUGAGUUAAUCGCCAUGGAGAAAGAGUCUGAAGAGACAUUUGAGAAGAAUGAGUUUAACUCUUAUUCUGUAGAGAAGACAUCUCGAGAAGAAGCUUAGAAGUGCCAUCCUGAGAGAGCAGAAAAUUGUUAGACUUUGGUUUCAGCACUGAGGAAGAGCCAGAAGCUGAUGAUAGGUGAUUGGCUGUGACCUUUCCCAUAAAGCAACUAGUGGUUUGACAACCAAUCCAUCCAAGAAGAACUCUAAGAGGGAUUUAGGUUGGGCCUCAAAUGAGCAAUGAUUCACCUUCAAGCUGCUUCUUCCUCUAUGGCCAGCCGCUCUACCUCUUCUGCCCCAAAACCGAGGGGGGAGAUGUGCUAUUUGCUCAGCGAUUCUCUCAGCCUCUUUCCCUAAUUUGCCUUAUUAUUCACGUGACCUGGAUAUUCCUAUAGAAAAAUUCGGCAUCUCCUUAUAGAAAUAAUUAGAUAUGAUGGCAGUGUGAUCCCCACUGGUAAAAACCACAUUCCAAAAAUGAGCUUUGAUUUCAGAGAGAGAGAGAGAGAGAGAGAACACCCACCGAAGCCUUGCAUAACAAUGUUCUGCCUGGCAGUUCAGGGCACCAAGCUCCUGGCUGGCAGUUCCUGCCUGUUUUCCCCGAAUUUGCUUUGAUGUCUCUUGCUUCUUGUCAUUGAAAAAGAAAGAUGGUUGGAUUCUUUGGGAAAGCAGCCUUUGAAAAGUAACUCUUUUCACACCUAUUUAAUGUUGGUAACUGUUGCAGAAACACUCCUCUGUGUCAGAGAGUUAAUGAGGUAUUUACUAAAAUGUAUUUUUUUCCUUUAAAAAAACACAUAAGAAGAGAGGGGCGGGCCUUUAUGAGGGUCUUUUCACACCAGGAAAUGAUCUUUCUUACAGAAUUUUAUGAGAACCGCAAUCUACUGAAAGCUCUAUUAGCACUUGAGAAGUUUCCAUUUCUCUCACCAUUCAGGGAUCUCUCCACCCUGGUUUACCCCAAAAAUAAACCAGGAGGUGGGGGAAGGGAAUGCCAUGUUUUGACUUUUGGUGUGAGAUCCAAUCACUGACAUCAGCCCCCUCUCAAGCUUCGGAAGCUUCAGGCUUCCCAAUCUAUUGUCAUUUAUACCCAAAGGAAAUAAGGGGAGGGGAAAAAGGAAUUGGAAGAUAGGGGGAGGGAAGAGAGAGGAAGAGGAGGAAUUAGAAAGUCAUUUGUUAUAUCUAUACACAGAAAUCAAAAUAGAGAUUAACUCCUCACCCCAGACUGUAGAUAGCAUUCAAGUGUUGACUAACAGUCACACUAGUCGACCUCUGAGACCCUUACCAACUCAUCACUUCCUGCUCCCAAACCAAAAAACCCAGGCCUCAUUUCCAGGUGAAUUUUCAAUUUUCAGGCGAAUUAUGUAAAUAAUCCAUUGCUUGGUUUCUCCAAUUUGUCUUAGCACCGAAAAGGAAAGAGAAGAAAAAGCAAGACAGAAAGGAAGACAGAAGAGAUAAACCACACCAUCAUAGAGGAAUAUAUAUAUAUGUAAAUAUAUAUGUUUAUAUGUGGAGUUUUACCCAAGAUAUGACUAUCUCCCCUGACUAAAUAUCCAGCAUGAUGUGGAAAUCCCAAUUGCUUGAGGCAGAGUGGGCUGAUGAAAAAUCUUGGGUUGGUUCAUUGUUGAUUCUCUUUCUUCCCCCACCCCCCACCCCCUAGCUUUCACAGCUUUGACUCUGGACCAUCUGUAUUAGAGACAAAUUCUAACACUGCACUAAAAAUAAUGAUACCAAACAUUUUAAUUGCACCUUUUUGUGACAAGGUUACUAUAACAGCACUUUACCAUAAAAUCCUACAGCUCGAUUAUAAAACUAUCAGCACUUUCAUUUUAAGAAAAAACAAUUGGAAAAACAUUCUGAGCCUGACUUCCCCAUCAAGGUCUCCUGCAGCUGAUUUAAACACACACACACACAC
Non-coding RNA from Phascolarctos cinereus (koala), 2021 nucleotides. The record is from RefSeq and is a predicted model, not a curated record. NCBI's taxonomy places the organism in Eukaryota, Metazoa, Chordata, Mammalia, Diprotodontia, Phascolarctidae.